UGCGUACCUUUUGUAUAAUGGGUCAGCGACUUAUAUUCUGUAGCAAGGUUAACCGAAUAGGGGAGCCGAAGGGAAACCGAGUCUUAACUGGGCGUUAAGUUGCAGGGUAUAGACCCGAAACCCGGUGAUCUAGCCAUGGGCAGGUUGAAGGUUGGGUAACACUAACUGGAGGACCGAACCGACUAAUGUUGAAAAAUUAGCGGAUGACUUGUGGCUGGGGGUGAAAGGCCAAUCAAACCGGGAGAUAGCUGGUUCUCCCCGAAAGCUAUUUAGGUAGCGCCUCGUGAAUUCAUCUCCGGGGGUAGAGCACUGUUUCGGCAAGGGGGUCAUCCCGACUUACCAACCCGAUGCAAACUGCGAAUACCGGAGAAUGUUAUCACGGGAGACACACGGCGGGUGCUAACGUCCGUCGUGAAGAGGGAAACAACCCAGACCGCCAGCUAAGGUCCCAAAGUCAUGGUUAAGUGGGAAACGAUGUGGGAAGGCCCAGACAGCCAGGAUGUUGGCUUAGAAGCAGCCAUCAUUUAAAGAAAGCGUAAUAGCUCACUGGUCGAGUCGGCCUGCGCGGAAGAUGUAACGGGGCUAAACCAUGCACCGAAGCUGCGGCAGCGACGCUUAUGCGUUGUUGGGUAGGGGAGCGUUCUGUAAGCCUGUGAAGGUGUGCUGUGAGGCAUGCUGGAGGUAUCAGAAGUGCGAAUGCUGACAUAAGUAACGAUAAAGCGGGUGAAAAGCCCGCUCGCCGGAAGACCAAGGGUUCCUGUCCAACGUUAAUCGGGGCAGGGUGAGUCGACCCCUAAGGCGAGGCCGAAAGGCGUAGUCGAUGGGAAACAGGUUAAUAUUCCUGUACUUGGUGUUACUGCGAAGGGGGGACGGAGAAGGCUAUGUUGGCCGGGCGACGGUUGUCCCGGUUUAAGCGUGUAGGCUGAUUUUCCAGGCAAAUCCGGAAAAUCAAGGCUGAGGCGUGAUGACGAGGCACUACGGUGCUGAAGCAACAAAUGCCCUGCUUCCAGGAAAAGCCUCUAAGCAUCAGGUAACAUCAAAUCGUACCCCAAACCGACACAGGUGGUCAGGUAGAGAAUACCAAGGCGCUUGAGAGAACUCGGGUGAAGGAACUAGGCAAAAUGGUGCCGUAACUUCGGGAGAAGGCACGCUGAUAUGUAGGUGAAGUCCCUCGCGGAUGGAGCUGAAAUCAGUCGAAGAUACCAGCUGGCUGCAACUGUUUAUUAAAAACACAGCACUGUGCAAACACGAAAGUGGACGUAUACGGUGUGACGCCUGCCCGGUGCCGGAAGGUUAAUUGAUGGGGUCAGCGCAAGCGAAGCUCUUGAUCGAAGCCCCGGUAAACGGCGGCCGUAACUAUAACGGUCCUAAGGUAGCGAAAUUCCUUGUCGGGUAAGUUCCGACCUGCACGAAUGGCGUAAUGAUGGCCAGGCUGUCUCCACCCGAGACUCAGUGAAAUUGAACUCGCUGUGAAGAUGCAGUGUACCCGCGGCAAGACGGAAAGACCCCGUGAACCUUUACUAUAGCUUGACACUGAACAUUGAGCCUUGAUGUGUAGGAUAGGUGGGAGGCUUAGAAGUGUGGACGCCAGUCUGCAUGGAGCCGGCCUUGAAAUACCACCCUUUAAUGUUUGAUGUUCUAACGUGGACCCGUAAUCCGGGUUGCGGACAGUGUCUGGUGGGUAGUUUGACUGGGGCGGUCUCCUCCUAAAGAGUAACGGAGGAGCACGAAGGUUGGCUAAUCCUGGUCGGACAUCAGGAGGUUAGUGCAAUGGCAUAAGCCAGCUUGACUGCGAGCGUGACGGCGCGAGCAGGUGCGAAAGCAGGUCAUAGUGAUCCGGUGGUUCUGAAUGGAAGGGCCAUCGCUCAACGGAUAAAAGGUACUCCGGGGAUAACAGGCUGAUACCGCCCAAGAGUUCAUAUCGACGGCGGUGUUUGGCACCUCGAUGUCGGCUCAUCACAUCCUGGGGCUGAAGUAGGUCCCAAGGGUAUGGCUGUUCGCCAUUUAAAGUGGUACGCGAGCUGGGUUUAGAACGUCGUGAGACAGUUCGGUCCCUAUCUGCCGUGGGCGCUGGAGAACUGAGGGGGGCUGCUCCUAGUACGAGAGGACCGGAGUGGACGCAUCACUGGUGUUCGGGUUGUCAUGCCAAUGGCACUGCCCGGUAGCUAAAUGCGGAAGAGAUAAGUGCUGAAAGCAUCUAAGCACGAAACUUGCCCCGAGAUGAGUUCUCCCUGACUCCUUGAGAGUCCUGAAGGAACGUUGAAGACGACGACGUUGAUAGGCCGGGUGUGUAAGCGCAGCGAUGCGUUGAGCUAACCGGUACUAAUGAACCGUGAGGCUUAACCUUACAACGCCGAAG
Molecule: ribosomal RNA, 2359 nt
Filed under: Shigella dysenteriae
Lineage: Bacteria; Pseudomonadati; Pseudomonadota; Gammaproteobacteria; Enterobacterales; Enterobacteriaceae
Description: partial 23S ribosomal RNA
Rfam family: Bacterial large subunit ribosomal RNA
Source: RNAcentral